This 676-nucleotide ribosomal RNA is filed under the name Acetobacter pomorum. RNAcentral describes it as "bacterial SSU rRNA". It matches the Rfam family "Bacterial small subunit ribosomal RNA", at positions 80 to 788 of the family's 1533-position model. The record is from RNAcentral. Lineage: Bacteria; Pseudomonadati; Pseudomonadota; Alphaproteobacteria; Acetobacterales; Acetobacteraceae. RNAcentral also lists the same sequence under 1 other name.
AGGGUUUCGGCCUUAGUGGCGGACGGGUGAGUAACGCGUAGGUAUCUAUCCAUGGGGUGGGGGAUAACACUGGGAAACUGGUGCUAAUACCGCAUGACACCUGAGGGUCAAAGGCGUAAGUCGCCUGUGGAGGAGCCUGCGUUUGAUUAGCUAGUUGGUGGGGUAAAGGCCUACCAAGGCGAUGAUCAAUAGCUGGUUUGAGAGGAUGAUCAGCCACACUGGGACUGAGACACGGCCCAGACUCCUACGGGAGGCAGCAGUGGGGAAUAUUGGACAAUGGGGGCAACCCUGAUCCAGCAAUGCCGCGUGUGUGAAGAAGGUCUUCGGAUUGUAAAGCACUUUCGACGGGGACGAUGAUGACGGUACCCGUAGAAGAAGCCCCGGCUAACUUCGUGCCAGCAGCCGCGGUAAUACGAAGGGGGCUAGCGUUGCUCGGAAUGACUGGGCGUAAAGGGCGUGUAGGCGGUUUGUACAGUCAGAUGUGAAAUCCCCGGGCUUAACCUGGGAGCUGCAUUUGAUACGUGCAGACUAGAGUGUGAGAGAGGGUUGUGGAAUUCCCAGUGUAGAGGUGAAAUUCGUAGAUAUUGGGAAGAACACCGGUGGCGAAGGCGGCAACCUGGCUCAUUACUGACGCUGAGGCGCGAAAGCGUGGGGAGCAAACAGGAUUAGAUACCCU